AAACGCCAGUCUCUUUUCUCCCGCCAUCUUUGCCCCUCCACCCUCGCUUCAUGCAACAGUGACGUUGGCAUAAACACGUUCCUGGAUGGGAGGGAGUAACCGUCGAAUGUCUGGCAUCUCUCUGGUAUUCCCGGAAAUGGAUGUUCCCCAAGCCACAGUUUUUAAGAGAGCCAGCCCUGUAGUCUCACCUCUGUGACCUCUGUGACCAUCCUAUGGUCGGUUGGAUGGUGUCCUGCUGGAGCAAACACGUGAAGGAGCGUUUUGUUAAAGUGGAUACAGGUAUGAAAGGCUAAGGUAGACUCGUGAAGCAGACACAGGAGAGAGGAUAUUCUGUUAAAGCAAGCAUGCGAAAGGACACGUGAUGUAGGAUUCUUUGCUAAUGACACACAUGUAUUGGUUCACCUUACAUUGCAUAGUUGAGCUCCAUUUGUCAGGACUCCAUAGAGAGAAACACAACGAAAACUUGUGUUAGUGUGCUGAAGUUGUGGCUUCCAAGGACUCUGGCUGAUUGGAUGCCUGUGCUGAGGUACAGCACGUGGAGGACACGUGGUGUUUGGAGGGUAUACAUAGGACUCCAGGGAGUGAUGGAGACAGAGCUUGGCUUGCUGGUACAGCUAGCUGUGCCAUGCUUGUGGGUCUCCAGUCUUCGCUGAUCUUCACUGCCCUGAGAGAGGCACAGCCUUUCUCCUGGUGUUCCUUCUGGUCUCUCCUGUUGACUUGAGCAGAGGCUGAGGCCUGGCUGUCUCUGCUAGCUCCUAUCACUGCUGUUGCUAACCUGACUCUCCUGAACUGGAUGCUGGUGUAUCCGUGAGGUGUUUGUGAGUGGACUGAGCUAUGGAGCUGCUGCUGCCUGCCGACCUGUGAACUGAAUGCUGACUUCCAAACAACACAGACGGGAGUUGCUCCAAGGAACCCUUCUAAACAGACAGAAACUUAUUGUAAAGAAGCACCAGAGGCUGGAGAGACAGCUCAGCAGUUAAGAGCACUGACUGCUCUUCCAGAGGUCCUGAGUUCAAUUCCCUGCAACCACAUGGUGACUCACAACCAUCUGUAAUGGGAUCUGGUGCCCUCUUCUGGUGUGUCUGAAGACAGUGACAGUGUACUCAUAUACAUAAAAUAAAUCUUAAAAUCUUUUUAAAA
Non-coding RNA from Rattus norvegicus (Norway rat), 1140 nucleotides. Lineage: Eukaryota; Metazoa; Chordata; Mammalia; Rodentia; Muridae. The record is from RefSeq and is a predicted model, not a curated record.